CCCUUAGAUGUCCUGGGCCGCACGCGCGCUACACUGAGUGUCUGAGAUACGAGUCUGCCUGGUCCGGCAAGGUCUAGGUAAUCGCUAAAAGACACAUCAUGCUUGGGAUAGAUUAUUGCAAAUAUUAAUCUUGAACGAGGAAUUCCUAGUAAGCGCAAGUCAACAGCUUGCGUUGAUUACGUCCCUGCCCUUUGUACACACCGCCCGUCGCUACUACUGAUUGGAUGUUUAAGCGAGGUUCUCGAACUGCUAGCGACUUAGCUUCGGUGAGGUCGCAGUGUGGGAAGUGAACCUAGCUUUGAUGUCUAGAGGAAGUAAAAGUCGUAACA
Molecule: ribosomal RNA, 329 nt
Filed under: uncultured eukaryote
Lineage: Eukaryota
Description: partial 18S ribosomal RNA
Rfam family: Eukaryotic small subunit ribosomal RNA
Source: RNAcentral